RNAcentral lists this ribosomal RNA (253 nucleotides) under uncultured bacterium. RNAcentral describes it as "partial 16S ribosomal RNA". It matches the Rfam family "Bacterial small subunit ribosomal RNA", at positions 524 to 776 of the family's 1533-position model. The record is from RNAcentral.
GACGAACCACCCAAACGUUAUUCGGAAUUACUGGGCUUAAAGGGUGCGUAGGCGGCGUGGAAAGUUGGGUGUGAAAUCCCUCGGCUCAACCGAGGAACUGCGCUCAAAACUACCGUGCUCGAGGAAGACAGAGGUAAGCGGAACUUCGGGUGGAGCGGUGAAAUGCGUUGAUAUCGAGAGGAACACCUGCGGCGAAGGCGGGUUGCUGGGCUGACACUGACGCUGAGGCGCGAAAGCUAGGGGAGCGAACGGG